GACGAACGCUGGCGGCGUGCCUAACACAUGCAAGUGGAGCGACGAACCAGACUUCGGUCUGGGGCAAAGCCGCGAACGGGUGAGUAACACGUGGGUAACCUGCCCUGAUGAUUGGGACAACCCGAGGAAACUCGGGCUAAUACCAAAUGUGCCCCGCAGCCGCAAGGCUGCUGGGGAAAGGAAGCUUCGGCCUCCGCAUCGGGAUGGGCCCGCGGCCCAUUAGCUUGUUGGUGAGGAAU
This 239-nucleotide ribosomal RNA is filed under the name uncultured bacterium. RNAcentral's name for it is "partial 16S ribosomal RNA". It matches the Rfam family "Bacterial small subunit ribosomal RNA", at positions 28 to 260 of the family's 1533-position model. The record is from RNAcentral.